GUUAAUCAACAAUUAAGUAAUAAUUUAAUUAUCAGCAUCCAUAUCAUAUGUUUUACAAAAUUUAGUCUAAAUAAUUGGUCUCAUUACCCUUUCACUGAGAUAUUGGACAACGUGCUUAAAAACGAAAUAACUCGUAUAUAUAGAGUAAACCCCACAAAAAUUAAAAUAGUCGGUUUAAAUUAUUAAAAUAUACAAAAUAAACCUCAUAAAAAAUAAAUGGUGAUAUGAAUAUGCUCUUAUUGACAUACCCCAUCCCGAAGGAGGGCAUGCUGGCCGUCACGUGAGAGUGACGUAACCAUUUGCACAGUACGGAAGCUUUAAGAUACAAUUUAAGUUGAUACACCCGAAGGUGAGUCCUAAUUUUGUCCAAUCUGUCAGAACACCGUCGAAUUCCUCGUAGUCACCACACCUUUGUGAUUCCUGAACCUGGAGGGGCGCAAAACCAAAAUUGAGUGGGUCAGUAAAACAAUUCUUUUCCAAAUCCAAACAAUUUUCAAAACGUUGUAACCCCUCUCCGUAAAACCUGUAUAUUUUCCCAGAAAUGUAAAAUAUAAAUAUACAUAUAUAUUCUCAAAACUUCAAGUCGUUAACUCAACAUUUUUCAUAACAAUUAUGCCAUGCCCACAUCAUCUCAACAUUUCUCAUAUUAAUUAUGCCAUGCCACAUCAUCUCAACAGUAAUAAGGUAUGAAUGCAUCAACAUAAUCAUAUCAGGUGCAAGAAAGUAAUCAACCGUAGGCCCUCUAAUAGCCCUGUACGGUUGAACCUAGAGCUCAAAAUCUAUCAUUAUCACUCUACCGGAGUCACCUCUGUGACCCGUCCGGCCUUCUGCACACAAGUUACGCUCUAGUGCUUCUCAUAAGUCAUCUGUGCACAUAAUCUAAGGUCACCCACCAGUCGGAAUCUCACUAACACUCUCGCGACUGGUCUGUCGUACCCACUCCGCGUGGACUGUACGACUAGCAUCUACUUGGAUCCAAGGCGAGCGUGCGAUGCGGUGAAUACUAUAAGCACUAAACCAUGGUGCAGGAUUUGAGCUCAAUAUAUAUCAUCAUCAUAAUAACAGUAAUUAAAUUCUUACCUGUGCGUCCACCGCACCAAUUCAUACAUAUGCAUCAUAAAUCAAUUCUUACCUGUGCGUCCACCGCACCAAUUCAUACAUAUGCAUCAUAUAUUAAUUCAUGCAUGGCAUUUCAACUCACAUUUCUAUAUACUUUUCAUAUCAAUUCUAUGCAUGGUAUUUCACUUCCCGUUUUUCCACAUAACUCAUAUGCAUUUCAUUUUAAACAUAUUUUCAUUUCAAUUCAAUUUCUGGGAAACGUCAAGUAUAUAUAUAUACGGAAACAAACUGCCCACUCACCUGGAGUUCGCCCUACAACUCCCUAGCACAAUACGCCAAGGCGUCAUGACGAUCGCCGCCUAGAAUAGUAAUCAAAUCCAGGCUCAGAAUUCAUAUCGAUAAAAUAUAAUAACUUAUAUAAAAUACGUCACUACGUAGUUCGAUCCGGAAGAUCUGCCACUCAGAUUUUAAAUCCAUAACUUCCAGAGGUCCACAAUAUAUCUCUAGGAUAACAUCCUAAAAUUUCAUUACCAUCCAACGGUUGGAUCUCCGUCAAUUUCCAAAACUAAGUGACGGUUAACAUUUUAUAUUAUGGACUUACAAUUCCAAUUCCGGAAGAUCCGUAACUCGGAUUCCCAAUCCGUAAGUUCCAAUAAUCCUCAAAUAUUACGUAUUACAACGUAUCAAAGUUUGGUGACAAUCCAACGGUCGGAUCAUCAAUUCACAUUUUCACCAAAACUAUAAAACGUUAUUCGAACACCUAACCAACAAUCCUUAAUAACUUUCUCAUACGGUGUUCAAUUUAGGUAUAUGAAUAUACCACAGUGAUCUACUCGACGUCACGGACGUCGACAUAUUUUUAAAAUAUUUUAUUUUUAUUUUUUAUUUUACUGUAGCACCAUCUUCUUCCUUGGGUCGCCGGACUGGUUUUUCCGGCGGCCGUUUUUCCGGGCAGUUUUUUCAAAUUGCCAUAACUUUGUCAUUUCUCAACGAAAUCAAGUGAUUCAAAAACGAAAGUUGUAGCCCUUGAAGAGACAAAGAGAAUGGUACCUUGCACAACACCUAGUUCGCCGUGGUUUGGCCGGAAACUGCCUCGAAAGCCUCGGAGGUCGCCGGAAACUGGGUAUUUUUCAAAUGAGUAUAACUUCUUCAAUACUCAACGAAAUUGAGUGAAACAAAAAGGAAAGUUGUAGUACUUGACGAGACGAAGAGAUUGAUACCUACCUCGACUCUUAACUCGCCGGGGAUUCGCCGGAAAAAGCCUCGAAAGCUCCGGCCAAACUUUGAACUUGUCGAUCUCAGUGUUCUUACGUCCAAAAACUUCCCACGAAGCACUCCGAGCUUCCUUGGGACCUCACUAAGCUCACUAUAAGCUUAGAAUUCCCUGAAACACAACAUUUUACGUUCACAUGAACAGUGACCAAAAAUGGAGGUUCGGGUUUCACAUGAUUCCGAAGGUUUCACUUCCUAAAACUAGUACCAAUGAACUCAGAAUGACGAAAGGAUGAAGAUGCAUACCUUAGUUGCCUCGAUCCGUCGAGUUUUGGAGGAUUUGGGUGUAUGCCGUACGUUUUGGGUGAGAGAGAGUGAGAGAGAAAGAGGAAGUCGUGAGGGAGGAGAGAGAAUGAACUGAGAGAGAGACAAGGUACGGGAAAGAGGGAGAAAAUUGAGGGGUGUGGGAUCCUACCCAAUCCCCAACUACAAAAUUCUAACAUAAAUUUAAAUCUAAGUCUCCACUCUACUUACCAAAUUUUAGGAGCUUAGAUAUAACGAACAUAAAAAUUAUACCUUAGCCACGUAUUAGGGGCAUUUUCGUAAUUUCACAUCCUCGGAAUUAAAAAUUCCGGGACGGGCUGUGACAAUCUUCCCUCCUUAUAGAAUUUCGUCCCCGAAAUUCCAACAACCAAUCCAAACAUCUACUCAUACCAACCUCGGUAAAUCUCUCUUAUCCGAUUCUCUUUCUCCCACGUAAUUUUCUUCCACUGAAUGAUUUCCUUCACAAAGCUUUUACCACUUACUCUGUCUUAAUUCUCAAGACUUUCUUUUUCCAAUCCAAAGUCGUCCUUGGUUCCUUAUCAAUUCGAAUCCAAUUUAAUUCUCAAUAGUUGCACCAGAAUCUCAUGUGACGAAUCUGCCACCUAGUGACAACGUAUCGAACCCAAAAUACAUUAAGUACCUUAGCCAACUCUGAAGACAUCACCACUUGUAUGCAACUUUAUUGAUUCCUUUAGUGAUCAAAAAUGGUCUGAUGUGUCUAAAUCUUAUUUUGUCUCCUUUCCAACCCGAAUUAUACUUUUCUAUGGUGAACACUUCGAAAAUAUAAAACCAUUUGUCUUAUACACUCGAUUAGUGGCAUAUCCCUCUGUUAAUCUCUUUUGCCUCAAUCUGCUGACCAAAUAAAACUGUCGAAUGGUAUGAUAAAUCUUAUUACUUUUGGAAUAUUACAGAAGUUAAACAAUGUACUUCGUCCAAAAUUGCUUACUUUAAAUCCUUAGCAUUAGGCACAUACUUUUUGUUUUCUUGUAUCCACAUACCAUUUGAUUCACGAAUCAUGUACUCAUUCUUUUUCCCUUCUUUCUCUGCCUUGGUUAAUUCUUAAAUUUCCUCGUCAAACAUUUAAGUUUCGAGUACGACCUUACCAAAUAGGCCUAACUUGAAAUUUAACAAGUAUAACUUCUUCUCGAUCUUUCAUUCUUAACUUUUCUUCCAUUGGUUUUCAAUCCACAAGAUGAUACUCUUGGCAAACGUGCCAGAUAUUAAUCUUACUGUAGUCUUCUCACCAAGUGCUUCAGCUAGAACAAAUUUUACGAUCACCUUGAUCGUACAAUCAUGUUCAUUAAGCAAUACAAUUCACUUUCGCUGCCUCAUAUCAAAAUCCUUCCAAGUAAUGGAUAUUGAAGACUUUUUGGAUUCGUAAAAAUCUUGCAUUCUUACCAAAUAUAUAAUGUCUCCAUAACUUCACAGUAAGAAUGGUAAUCAUGACUUCCAAGUCACUCGUAGGGUAAUUCAUCUCAUGAGGUUCCAUUUAUCAUGAAACGUAUGCAAUCACCCUAACAUUUGCAUCAACAUGCCUCCAAUACCAUUCAAGAAACAUCACUAAAAAUUUAUGAUUACCACUAUUCUCUGGGAAUACCAAAUUACGUGCAUGAGUGAGGAAAUACUUCAGUUGUUGAAUCAUUUGCUCACAAUUUCCUUCCCACUCAUACAUAACCUCUUUUCUCAACAGUCUCGUUAAUGACAAAGCAAUGACUAAAAAUUCUUUCACAACCAUCCAAAAUAGCCUGGUAAGCUAAGAAAUUCCAAAUCUCAAUUACGACUCGUGGUUGUUCCAAAUUCUCAAUUUCUGCUAUCUUUUAAGAAUUCAUUUGAAUACCUUAAGCAGAUAUAACCAAUCUCAGAAUGCCACUUGAUUCAUCCAACAUUCGCAUUUGCUAAACUUAGCAUACAACCAACGUUCUCUCAAUCUUUGCUUCACCGACUUAAUACGUUUACAUGCUCUGCUCUGGCUCAGAAUAUGCCAGAAUAUCUUCAAUGAAAAUGAUAUCAAUUUAUCAAGGCAUUAUUGGAAUACUUCAUCCAUCAACUCAUAAAACAGCAUGAGUAUCCAUAUAGCAUCACCAAACUUCAUAAAGACUAUAACAAGUCCAGAAAACCAUCUUAUGAUCAACGUCACUUAUAAUAUUCAAUUGGUAGAACCAGAUCUCAAUUCAAUCUUUGAAUCUUCGCAAUUACUUCUGAGCUGGUUAAAUAAACAUCAGUACAUCACCAUGGAUAACGGUUCUCAAUCGUUACCCGACUCCAUUGUCUAUAAUCAAUGAACAAUCUCAAGAUCCAUUUUUCUUCCUCACCAACAAACUGGGCUCCUCAAAAGUGUUGUACUAGGUUGAAUAAAACUUUUAUCAACCAAUUCUCUCAACUGAAUUUCCAAUUCCCUUAACUCAUCCUGAACCAAUCUCCAAUAUAAAUUUAUACCUGGCAACAAAUCAAUAAUGAACCUCAUAUCUCUGCCUGAAGGCAAUCCAGGUAUACUUUCAAGGAAGACAUCAAGAAAAGUCUAACUCUUUCGACAUUAUUCACACUACUCCAAACAACAUCAUUUAGCACCACAUGAGCUAAGUAUUUUUGACAGCCUUUCGAAAACAAUCUCUUUGCUCUCACAGCAUAAAUAACAGCCUGACUCAAUCCAUUUUGCAUACUUACAAAAGUAAUCUCUGUUCAUCCAUAUCGAUGGAAAGUACUGGUUUCCCGUAACAUUCCGUCUUGUCACAAUUAUAACCAACCAAUCUAAUGGAACAGAAUUAACUGAUACAAUAUAUAUUCUAUUAUUAUUAAGCAUUCUAAAUAAGUACAAUACUAACAUAAAAUAAUCUACCGGUUUGCUUGCUUAACGAAUCCACGAAUGAGUUAUUAAUAUUACGGUCUGCAGCCCGCAAUACUGAUAAAUCAUCGUUGUCUCGAUAAGUAGGCAACCACUCUCAAAGAUAUAACAUUACUAUUUUGUUACUCAAUGCAAAAUACAUACACUCGUCUCAACUACAUUUAUUUACUACUCUCUAGGUAAUAACAUACAUAAUAAGAAAUAUAUCAGCCGAAGUCAACUAGAAUGACCAAUACGGCUGAUUCAACUCUUAUCUCAAUAAUACGUCGGCCGGAUCCACUCCGCGUGGUCGGUAUGGCUGAGCCUAUAACUCACCAUUUCUCAUGUGUCAAUCGAAUCCACUUCUCAUGGUCUGUACGACUGAACAUAUAACUCAUCAAAUCUCUCUGUACUCACAGUCAAUCCGACCAAACUACUAAAUUCAUAAACUUGUUGAAUCAACACUAUGAUAUCAUGGAAAAUUGUUGAGUACAACUGAUUCUAGGGACGAUUCACAAUUCUGUGUCCCCUCUGUUCACAUAAACACAUUCAUUAAUUUCACAUUUCCCAAAGUGUUAAUUUUUUUUUUUUUUUUUUUUUUUUUUUUUUUUUUUUUUUUUUUUUUUUUUUUUUUUUUUUUUUUGUACCUGCUGCACAAGGUACAUUUCCUUUACUCGAGACACCUUGUCUCAAAUAUCUGGGAUUACCAGUAUAUCCAUCACUUUUACUCUGACCAGCGACAUUAAAACCUCAGCUGGAAGAAUUAACUCUAGCUUCACUUCUUUCGAAGCUCUGAAUCUUUCUAUAUCCUUGAUAUGACGAAUCAUUGACUUUAUCGUCUUCUUUUGAGUCUCAUUCAUUUCUUAUUCUUCUUUAUUCUCGUUGCUCAUGUUCUCAGAGUCCUCAAGACUCAACAGCAUCUCGCAUACUCCUGAUAAGAAUUACAAUGGAUAGUGGUCACCCAAAAUACCACUUCCCUUUUGCCACCCAGCCUAAAACAACAUAACACCUCCACCAAAUUCACAACAAUAUCUGGAUAGAACGAGGCAAGUCUGAAAACUUUCUAUAAUAUCCCUCGAUCAUCACCUUCCUUGUCUCAUAUUUGUAAACUCUUGUUUACCACCAUCGAUAAAUGCCGGAGGGAUAAACUUUUCCUUUAAACAAGUCCUUAAACAAUUCUCAAUCGACUGAUUCCUAUGGUGACAACAAUUCAUACUCCUGUUUCCACCAGGAUACAAAUUCAUAACCAAAACCAGGUAGUCGUCUCGACCCCUUGUCAGAAGGAAAUUUCCUUUGACUUGCAUAAUCUGAAACAUCUUUUCCAAUUGGUUAAACCGUUACUUCGCUCCCUCAGGUUCAUCAUUUCAUAAGGUGAUUCAAAUUCAACUCAUAACCCAUCUUAAAAUGUCCCUUUUUAUAAUAGACUGAAUCACCAUAAUAAUAGUUUUCCCUAAACCGCUAUAUUAGGGAGACUAAAUUCCUCUAACUACGUGGUUUGCUACGAGGCGGUGUAGUUCUGACAGAAUUCACUAUAAACUUCUCAAGAUGUCCAAGAUUGCAACCAUGCUCUGAUACCAACUGACAUACCCCAUCCCGAAGGAGGGCAUGCUGGCCGUCACGUGAGAGUGACGUAACCAUUUGCACAGUACGGAAGCUUUAAGAUACAAUUUAAGUUGAUACACCCGAAGGUGAGUCCUAAUUUUGUCCAAUCUGUCAGAACACCGUCGAAUUCCUCGUAGUCACCACACCUUUGUGAUUCCUGAACCUGGAGGGGCGCAAAACCAAAAUUGAGUGGGUCAGUAAAACAAUUCUUUUCCAAAUCCAAACAAUUUUCAAAACGUUGUAACCCCUCUCCGUAAAACCUGUAUAUUUUCCCAGAAAUGUAAAAUAUAAAUAUACAUAUAUAUUCUCAAAACUUCAAGUCGUUAACUCAACAUUUUCAUAACAAUUAUGCCAUGCCACAUCAUCUCAACAUUUCUCAUAUUAAUUAUGCCAUGCCACAUCAUCUCAACAGUAAUAAGGUAUGAAUGCAUCAACAUAAUCAUAUCAGGUGCAAGAAAGUAAUCAACCGUAGGCCCUCUAAUAGCCCUGUACGGUUGAACCUAGAGCUCAAAAUCUAUCAUUAUCACUCUACCGGAGUCACCUCUGUGACCCGUCCGGCCUUCUGCACACAAGUUACGCUCUAGUGCUUCUCAUAAGUCAUCUGUGCACAUAAUCUAAGGUCACCCACCAGUCGGAAUCUCACUAACACUCUCGCGACUGGUCUGUCGUACCCACUCCGCGUGGACUGUACGACUAGCAUCUACUUGGAUCCAAGGCGAGCGUGCGAUGCGGUGAAUACUAUAAGCACUAAACCAUGGUGCAGGAUUUGAGCUCAAUAUAUAUCAUCAUCAUAAUAACAGUAAUUAAAUUCUUACCUGUGCGUCCACCGCACCAAUUCAUACAUAUGCAUCAUAAAUCAAUUCUUACCUGUGCGUCCACCGCACCAAUUCAUACAUAUGCAUCAUAUAUUAAUUCAUGCAUGGCAUUUCAACUCACAUUUCUAUAUACUUUUCAUAUCAAUUCUAUGCAUGGUAUUUCACUUCCCGUUUUUCCACAUAACUCAUAUGCAUUUCAUUUUAAACAUAUUUUCAUUUCAAUUCAAUUUCUGGGAAACGUCAAGUAUAUAUAUAUACGGAAAACAAAACUGCCCACUCACCUGGAGUUCGCCCUACAACUCCCUAGCACAAUACGCCAAGGCGUCAUGACGAUCGCCGCCUAGAAUAGUAAUCAAAUCCAGGCUCAGAAUUCAUAUCGAUAAAAUAUAACUUAUAUAAAAUACGUCACUACGUAGUUCGAUCCGGAAGAUCUGCCACUCAGAUUUUAAAUCCAUAACUUCCAGAGGUCCACAAUAUAUCUCUAGGAUAACAUCCUAAAAUUUCAUUACCAUCCAACGGUUGGAUCUCCGUCAAUUUCCAAAACUAAGUGACGGUUAACAUUUUAUAUUAUGGACUUACAAUUCCAAUUCCGGAAGAUCCGUAACUCGGAUUCCCAAUCCGUAAGUUCCAAUAAUCCUCAAAUAUUACGUAUUACAACGUAUCAAAGUUUGGUGACAAUCCAACGGUCGGAUCAUCAAUUCACAUUUUCACCAAAACUAUAAAACGUUAUUCGAACACCUAACCAACAAUCCUUAAUAACUUUCUCAUACGGUGUUCAAUUUAGGUAUAUGAAUAUACCACAGUGAUCUACUCGACGUCACGGACGUCGACAUAUUUUUAAAAUAUUUUUAUUUUUAUUUUUUUAUUUUACUGUAGCACCAUCUUCUUCCUUGGGUCGCCGGACUGGUUUUUCCGGCGGCCGUUUUCCGGGCAGUUUUUCAAAUUGCCAUAACUUUGUCAUUUCUCAACGAAAUCAAGUGAUUCAAAAACGAAAGUUGUAGCCCUUGAAGAGACAAAGAGAAUGGUACCUUGCACAACACCUAGUUCGCCGUGGUUUGGCCGGAAACUGCCUCGAAAGCCUCGGAGGUCGCCGGAAACUGGGUAUUUUUCAAAUGAGUAUAACUUCUUCAAUACUCAACGAAAUUGAGUGAAACAAAAAGGAAAGUUGUAGUACUUGACGAGACGAAGAGAUUGAUACCUACCUCGACUCUUAACUCGCCGGGGAUUCGCCGGAAAAAGCCUCGAAAGCUCCGGCCAAACUUUGAACUUGUCGAUCUCAGUGUUCUUACGUCCAAAAACUUCCCACGAAGCACUCCGAGCUUCCUUGGGACCUCACUAAGCUCACUAUAAGCUUAGAAUUCCCUGAAACACAACAUUUUACGUUCACAUGAACAGUGACCAAAAAUGGAGGUUCGGGUUUCACAUGAUUCCGAAGGUUUCACUUCCUAAAACUAGUACCAAUGAACUCAGAAUGACGAAAGGAUGAAGAUGCAUACCUUAGUUGCCUCGAUCCGUCGAGUUUUGGAGGAUUUGGGUGUAUGCCGUACGUUUUGGGUGAGAGAGAGUGAGAGAGAAAGAGGAAGUCGUGAGGGAGGAGAGAGAAUGAACUGAGAGAGAGACAAGGUACGGGAAAGAGGGAGAAAAUUGAGGGGUGUGGGAUCCUACCCAAUCCCCAACUACAAAAUUCUAACAUAAAUUUAAAUCUAAGUCUCCACUCUACUUACCAAAUUUUAGGAGCUUAGAUAUAACGAACAUAAAAAUUAUACCUUAGCCACGUAUUAGGGGCAUUUUCGUAAUUUCACAUCCUCGGAAUUAAAAAUUCCGGGACGGGCUGUGACACUUAUAUAUAUUACACUAAUUUUCACAAGCUUCAAAAUUAUGGUCUUU
Molecule: long non-coding RNA, 9720 nt
Filed under: Malus domestica (apple)
Lineage: Eukaryota; Viridiplantae; Streptophyta; Magnoliopsida; Rosales; Rosaceae
Description: long non-coding RNA (MDOM_LNC011755)
Source: RNAcentral